Molecule: unclassified non-coding RNA, 293 nt
Filed under: uncultured fungus
Lineage: Eukaryota; Fungi
Description: partial contains 5.8S ribosomal RNA, internal transcribed spacer 2, and large subunit ribosomal RNA
Rfam family: 5.8S ribosomal RNA (bases 1-52)
Source: RNAcentral
AACGCACCUUGCGCUCCUUGGUAUUCCGAGGAGCAUGCCUGUUUGAGUGUCAUGAAAUUCUCAACCUACAAAGCUUUUGUUGGUUCUGUAGUGUUGGACUAUGGAGGCCUUUGCCGGCUGCUUGCAGUGGGCUCCUCUCAAAUGCAUUAGCUUGAUUCCUUGCGGAUCGGCUCUCGGUGUGAUAAUGUCUACGCCGCGACCGUGAAGCGUUUGGCGAGCUUACAGUCGUCUCGUUGGAGACAGCUUCAUUGACCUCUGACCUCAAAUCAGGUAGGACUACCCGCUGAACUUAA